AAACCGACUUGUCUAGCCAAAUUUCUGAACUGUCACCCACUCUCCUUCUACAUACUUCAUUUCUAUCACCAGUUGGUUCCAAUUCUUGAGAAAAAACAGUCAUUUCUCCUCCUCGUUCUUCAGCUCAUAGCCAUUCUCCCCCUCCCAAUCCAAAUUACUCUAUGGUCGAUCCCUCAAUCUGGCUUUCUGACCCACCUUCGAUCCUUUUCCAGUGACUCCACGACGUACCUAGGCACUCCUCCUAUCAGAAAAAAUUGAUCCCCUUUCUUUAAACUUUAUAUGGCUAUUAUAUAAGCCACCAAAUUUGUCGUUCUAGGUGUAUGUUUAAAGGAAAAUCUGUUGAAACAUUAUCGGUAAUGUUGAAUAUCUCUUAUAUAAGCCCUCAUUUCUGAUUCAUCUGUCUCACUUGACUGACAUUUCUUGAUGACUAACAACACAUCUCCCUCAACCACCGCCAACUGCAAACCUAAAUCUAACCCUAAAUGCAUCGUCUGAGCACAAGCGAGAGCUUUGACAGCAAACGGUGAUGCAAUAUUGCAGUUCAAAACAAAUGCCGAAACCAUCCCAUGGCAUCCUUUACCACCAACCGAAACUAGUUCACUUCUGAUGAUUAUCAAAGGCAGCAUCAGAAUUGAUCUUAAAGCUUUGCCCCUCCGAAGGACUCCAUCACGCAAUCCUUUCCCCCAUCUUAGGUGUUCAUUUCCCCUCAUCCAACCAUUUAUUCCUUUCGGUCCAGAUUACCCAUAAUGCACAACAUAGCAGACAACACUGGUGACUGAAUUAUUUUUGAAGCACCAGGGCGUUGCUAGAAGACAUAUUCCAAACUCUCUACAACACCCUACGCUUGGGGCAUAUUGCACUAGCCACUAUUCUCUUGUAAUACAUAUUAGCUAGAAUAGUCAAAAAAGUUUUAAGGAAAUUUUCCAAAUUGUAAUUAACUAUUUAGAAGGUAGUUCUAGAUUCUAUAAUUUUUUUUUCUUGUAAAAAGCCCUAGAAUCCUUUGGGUUGUAAUUAAUAGUGGGACUAGUAGCAUCUUCGAGAAGCAUUUUGUACACUUUGAAUCAAGAA
Molecule: long non-coding RNA, 1068 nt
Organism: Gossypium arboreum
Lineage: Eukaryota; Viridiplantae; Streptophyta; Magnoliopsida; Malvales; Malvaceae
Exons: 3
Source: RefSeq, a predicted model, not a curated record